GGGCCCAUAGCUCAGUUGGUAGAGCGAUCGCUUCGCAGGCGAUAGGUCGCGGGUUCGAGUCCCGCUGGGUCCACCA
RNAcentral lists this transfer RNA (76 nucleotides) under Hadesarchaea archaeon. RNAcentral's name for it is "tRNA-Ala". It matches the Rfam family "tRNA". From Rfam's summary of the family: Transfer RNA (tRNA) molecules are approximately 80 nucleotides in length. Their secondary structure includes four short double-helical elements and three loops (D, anti-codon, and T loops). The record is from RNAcentral. Lineage: Archaea; Methanobacteriati; Hadarchaeota (SeqCode); Hadarchaeia (SeqCode). RNAcentral also lists the same sequence under 1 other name.